Molecule: ribosomal RNA, 19 nt
Filed under: Centella asiatica (Asiatic pennywort)
Lineage: Eukaryota; Viridiplantae; Streptophyta; Magnoliopsida; Apiales; Apiaceae
Also listed under: 3 other names
Description: partial 26S ribosomal RNA
Source: RNAcentral
CGCGACCCCAGGUCAGGCG